CUUGCUGUUACCGUGACCUGUAUGUAUAACUUAAACCUAUCAAGUCUACCAUCAGCUAUUUGUUUUGGGGGGCACACAUCGCUUACAAAGCCCCUUUGACAAAUAUGAUAAAUGACAAAUGUGAAAUUCUACAAUACAAAUAGAGAAAAAACAGGCAAAAGAAUUCCAAUAGCAGGAGGAAUGAAACUUUUUGAAUUAUAGAAAACCAGUGCCAGCAUGACAGUGGUGCAAAAGAUUAUGAGCAAUAGCAUCCCUAGCCUUCAUUGAGUUUACUGAUCUCAAGGCAACCUCAGGCACCAUCUCAUCAUCAACAAGCUCAAUCUUCAGCUUUGGAUCCAGUUCCUCUUUACGCCUUUCACAGAUAUUAUGCAACACACAGCAU
RNAcentral lists this unclassified non-coding RNA (382 nucleotides) under Hevea brasiliensis (rubber tree). The record is from RNAcentral. Lineage: Eukaryota; Viridiplantae; Streptophyta; Magnoliopsida; Malpighiales; Euphorbiaceae.